CAGUCGCCACGGUAAUACGUAGGUGGCAAGCGUUGUCCGGAAUUAUUGGGCGUAAAGGGCUCGCAGGCGGUUUCUUACGUCUGAUGUGAAAGCCCCCGGCUCAACCGGGGAGGGUCAUUGGAAACUGGGAAACUUGAGUGCAGAAGAGGAGGGUGGAACUCCACGUGUAGCGGUGAAAUGCGUAGAGAUGUGGAGGAACACCAGUGGCGAAGGCGACUCUCUGGUCUGUAACUGACGCUGAGGAGCGAAAGCGUGGGGAGCGAACAGGAUUAGAUACCCGUGUAGUCCCUGUCUCUUAUAC
RNAcentral lists this ribosomal RNA (301 nucleotides) under uncultured bacterium. Its description in RNAcentral is "partial 16S ribosomal RNA". It matches the Rfam family "Bacterial small subunit ribosomal RNA", at positions 509 to 807 of the family's 1533-position model. The record is from RNAcentral.